UACGUAGGAGGCAAGCGUUGUCCGGAAUUACUGGGCGUAAAGCGUGUGCAGGCGGGCUAGCAAGUGGUGUAUGAAAGCUCCCGGCUCAACCGGGAAGGGUUAUGCCAGACUGCUAGUCUUGAGUGCGAGAGAGGAGCGUGGAAUUCCGGGUGUAGUGGUGAAAUGCGUAGAGAUCCGGAGGAACCCCAGAGGCGAAGGCGGCGCUCUGGCUCGCAACUGACGCUCAGACACGACAGCAUGGGGAGCGAACGGG
This 253-nucleotide ribosomal RNA is filed under the name uncultured bacterium. RNAcentral's name for it is "partial 16S ribosomal RNA". It matches the Rfam family "Bacterial small subunit ribosomal RNA", at positions 524 to 776 of the family's 1533-position model. The record is from RNAcentral.